Molecule: microRNA precursor, 103 nt
Filed under: Marmota monax (woodchuck)
Lineage: Eukaryota; Metazoa; Chordata; Mammalia; Rodentia; Sciuridae
Source: RNAcentral
AAUGGGAUAACUGGGUCAAAUUAUGGUUCCAUUCCAAGUUUUCUAAGGAAUAAUCAUACUGCUUUCCAGAGUGUUUGCACCAAUUUGUAGUCCCAACAGCAAU